AAUGAACGCUGGCGGCAGGCCUAACACAUGCAAGUCGAACGGAUCCUUCGGGAUUAGUGGCGGACGGGUGAGUAACGCGUGGGAACAUACCCUUUGGUACGGAAUAGCCUCGGGAAACUGAGAGUAAUACCGUAUGUGGUCGAGAGACGAAAGAUUUAUCGCCAAAGGAUUGGCCCGCGUUGGAUUAGGUAGUUGGUGGGGUAAUGGCCUACCAAGCCGACGAUCCAUAGCUGGUUUGAGAGGAUGAUCAGCCACACUGGGACUGAGAAACGGCCCAGACUCCUACGGGAGGCAGCAGUGGGGAAUCUUAGACAAUGGGGGAAACCCUGAUCUAGCCAUGCCGCGUGAUCGAUGAAGGCCUUAGGGUUGUAAAGAUCUUUCAGGUGGGAAGAUAAUGACUGUACCACCAGAGGAAGCCCCGGCUAACUACGUGCCAGCAGCCGCCGUAA
This 449-nucleotide ribosomal RNA is filed under the name uncultured bacterium. RNAcentral's name for it is "partial 16S ribosomal RNA". It matches the Rfam family "Bacterial small subunit ribosomal RNA", at positions 29 to 523 of the family's 1533-position model. The record is from RNAcentral.